GACGAACGCUGGCGGCGUGCUUAACACAUGCAAGUCGAACGGAAAGGCCCUGCUUUUGUGGGGUGCUCGAGUGGCGAACGGGUGAGUAACACGUGAGUAACCUGCCCUUGACUUUGGGAUAACUUCAGGAAACUGGGGCUAAUACCGGAUAGGAGCUCCUGCUGCAUGGUGGGGGUUGGAAAGUUUCGGCGGUUGGGGAUGGACUCGCGGCUUAUCAGCUUGUUGGUGGGGUAGUGGCUUACCAAGGCUUUGACGGGUAGCCGGCCUGAGGGGGUGACCGGCCACAUUGGGACUGAGAUACGGCCCAGACUCCUACGGGAGGCAGCAGUGGGGAAUAUUGCACAAUGGGCGGAAGCCUGAUGCAGCAACGCCGCGUGCGGGGUGACGGCCUUCGGGUUGUAAACCGCUUUCGCCUGUGACGAAGCGUGAGUGACGGUAAUGGGUAAAGAAGCACCGGCUAACUACGUG
Molecule: ribosomal RNA, 468 nt
Filed under: uncultured bacterium
Lineage: Bacteria
Description: partial 16S ribosomal RNA
Rfam family: Bacterial small subunit ribosomal RNA
Source: RNAcentral